CGGGUGAGAUGGAGAGUGUACCGCCGCCGAGGCGAAUGGACGCGGAACAGAGUAACAGACGCGUUGAUAACGGCGAUCGGCUGAUAGUGUGGCGGCGGCAGGGGGGCGCAGUGUUGCCAACGUCACCGGUAGAACGACGUGCCGGUCGGAGCCGCGCUGAGCCUUUAAAUGGAAGGCCGCUGCCAUCGCCGCCGCCGCCGGAGUCUCAAAUUAAACGUUUCUAAAAUAAGAGCUUUGGUCGUCGUCCCACACGUAGCGAUGGACCGCAAAAAACGAUACCCGAGUACAUUAUAUCGUGUAAAAUGACGUAAACUAUCGUUGUAUUUGGGUGCGAUGACUCGAACGACAAGACGGCGAAUUUAAGAAAUAGGUAUUGAAA
Cinara cedri is the source of this 379-nucleotide non-coding RNA. The record is from the annotation of a GenBank genome assembly. Lineage: Eukaryota; Metazoa; Arthropoda; Insecta; Hemiptera; Aphididae.